RNAcentral lists this ribosomal RNA (261 nucleotides) under uncultured prokaryote. RNAcentral describes it as "partial 16S ribosomal RNA". It matches the Rfam family "Bacterial small subunit ribosomal RNA", at positions 524 to 784 of the family's 1533-position model. The record is from RNAcentral.
UACGGAGGAUCCGAGCGUUAUCCGGAAUCAUUGGGUUUAAAGGGUCCGUAGGCGGGUUAGUAAGUCAGUGGUGAAAUCUGGCAGCUUAACUGUCGAAUUGCCGUUGAUACUGCUAAUCUUGAAUUACUGUGAAGUGGUUAGAAUAUGUAGUGUAGCGGUGAAAUGCUUAGAUAUUACAUGGAAUACCAAUUGCGAAGGCAGAUCACUAACAGUAUAUUGACGCUGAUGGACGAAAGCGUGGGGAGCAAACAGGAUUAGAUA